UACGGAGGGUGCAAGCGUUGUUCGGAAUUACUGGGCGUAAAGCGCGUGUAGGCGGUCGGGCAAGUCAGAUGUGAAAGCCUUCCGCUUAACGGAAGAAGUGCAUUUGAAACUACCCGGCUAGAGUACGGGAGAGGAGAGUGGAAUUCCCGGUGUAGAGGUGAAAUUCGUAGAUAUCGGGAGGAACACCAGUGGCGAAGGCGGCUCUCUGGUCCGAUACUGACGCUGAGACGCGAAAGCGUGGGGAGCAAACAGG
This 253-nucleotide ribosomal RNA is filed under the name uncultured bacterium. Its description in RNAcentral is "partial 16S ribosomal RNA". It matches the Rfam family "Bacterial small subunit ribosomal RNA", at positions 524 to 776 of the family's 1533-position model. The record is from RNAcentral.